Molecule: long non-coding RNA, 2105 nt
Filed under: Homo sapiens (human)
Lineage: Eukaryota; Metazoa; Chordata; Mammalia; Primates; Hominidae
Description: HSALNT0133925
Source: RNAcentral
UAAAAAUACAAAAAUUGGCUGGACGUGGUAGCAUACAACUGUAAUCCCAGCUACUCAGGAGGCUGAGGCAGGAUAAUCACUUGAACCCUGGAAAUGGAGGGUGCAGUGAUUUGAGAUUGCACCACUGCACUCCAGCCUGGGUGAGAAAGUGAGACUCAGUCUCAAAAAAAAAAAAAGUCAUGAAGAAACAUUUCACCAAAGAGUAUACAGGUUGGAAAUAACCACAAAUAACCACAUGAGAUGUUCAACAUCAUUAGGCAAUGGGGAAUACAAAUUAAAACCACAAUGAGACAUCACUAGAUAUCUAACUGAAUGGCUAAAGUGAAAAAAAAUAGAGACACCACCCAGUGUUGACCAUGACACAGAGAAACUGGAUUACGCACAAAUUGGUAAUGAGAGUAUAAAAAGCAAUAUACAACCACUCUGGGAAAUAUUUAGGCAGUUUCUUAAAAUAAAAGUAAACAUGCAACUACCAUACUCCUGGAUGUUUAUCCCAAAGAAAUGAAGACUUCUGUUGACACAAAAACUUAUACAUGAAUUUUCAUAGCAGCCGUAGCCAUAAUAGUCAAUAAAUAGAAACAACACAGAUGUGAAAGACAUCUGCAAAUGAUUGUUUAAACAAACUGUGGUACAUCCAUAUCAUGAAACACUCCUAAGCAAUAGAAAGGAACAAACUAUUAAUACAUAUGGCAAUCUGAAGGAAUUUCCAAAGAAUUCUGUUGAGUCAAAAAAGGCAACCUCAUUAUGGAACAUUCUUGAAAAACAUUAUGGAAGUGGAUUAGUGGUUGCCAGGAGUUAAGAGAGGGUCAUUAGAAGGAAGUGAGUGUGUCUAUACAAAGGCAUGAUGGAUCCCUGGGGUGAUGCAAAGACUCUGUAUUCUGCCUGUACCAAUGUCAAUACCCUGGUUGUGCUAUGUACUACAGUUACACGGAAUGUUAUCAUUAGAGAAAACUGAGUAAAGGGAAUCUCUUUAUUAGUUCUUGCAACUGCAUGUCACUCUAUAAUAAUCCCAAAAUAAAAAGUUUAAAACAGCAAAAAGAUAUGGUCAAUUUGAUGUGUAAUGCAUGUAAUGUGAUGAUUACUGAAAGAACCUUGCCUGGAGGGGACGAGGCAUGGAUAUAAAUUCCUUCUGUGUCUACAAAAAGCCAUGCUAUCUUAAGCAGACCCCUGGCUUUUUGGGGUCUCAGUUUUCUCAUCUGUUAAGUGAGAUAUUUGAGCUAAAUCAUCUGUAAAUGCUUUUCUAUUUAAUGUAGAACGUGCAGAUGGGACAGAGAAUCACUGGUGGAGACUGAUCCCAAAGUGGCCAGAGUGCAAGGUGCUUUAUGGCACUGCACCAGUUCCCUAUGAAACCAUACACAUCUCAUUGAGUAAGGAAGGAAGCUGCCUGUGACUGAGACUCUGAAAUGGACCAGGGAGGAAACUGAGUCUUGAAGAGAUUGUGUAACUUUGCAGUGAGUGCAAACCGUAGUAAUUACAAAGUGUGAAUUAAAAACCCAAAAUGCUGCCUGCUAGCAGAGUGGUAAAUUAUUUAACCUCUGUAAGCCUCUGUUUCCUUACUUGCAAAACAAAUAAAACAGUUCCUGUUUUUCUGUGAAGAGUAGUUAGGAUUACGCAUGUGAAGCCUUAACAUAAAAUUUACUACAUGAUGAAUAUUCAAAAAUUUUUUGAGAUCAUCAUCAUUGUCAUCAUCAUCACCAGAGUUUCAGUCUGGACGUUCUGUUUUCAAAGUUCACAUUCUGGACUUUCAGUCCUGGCAGUUGCUGCAUUCUCCCUGGGCAACUCCAUGAAGCCCUUUCUGAUAAGAUGGGAAAGGAGAAGGUAGAAAAGAAAGCCCAGCUCUAGCUAUAUCAGUUCUCAGCAGUUGUUUUAACUCACCUCAGAGAUGACGUAAUCCUAGUAAUCAGCAGUUUUGCAUACCUUCUCCCAUACCUCCUUCACCUACAUCCCUGACUCUCAGUCAUCCCCCACCACAGACAAAUCUGCUUAUUUCAUAGAUGGGAAAACAGGACAGGUGGAGUGGAGAGCUUGAUCCAGGUUACACAGCUAGUCAGAAAUGAAACCCAGGACUGGAGCCCCAGCCUUCCAUUUCAUUUCCAUGUUCCCUC